RNAcentral lists this ribosomal RNA (253 nucleotides) under uncultured bacterium. RNAcentral's name for it is "partial 16S ribosomal RNA". It matches the Rfam family "Bacterial small subunit ribosomal RNA", at positions 524 to 776 of the family's 1533-position model. The record is from RNAcentral.
UACAGAGGUGGCAAGCGUUGUUCGGAAUUACUGGGCGUAAAGGGCGCGUAGGCGGCCUGUUAAGUCCCGUGUGAAAUCCCUCGGCUCAACCGAGGAACUGCACGGGAAACUGGCGGGCUUGAGUCCGGGAGAGGGAAGCGGAAUUCCGGGUGUAGCGGUGAAAUGCGUAGAGAUCGGGAGGAACACCGGUGGCGAAGGCGGCUUCCUGGACCGUCACUGACGAUGAGGCGCGAAAGAUAGGGGAGCAAACGGG